GUUAGGAAUAUUCGUCAAUGGGGGAAACCCUGAACGAGCAAUGCCGCGUGAGUGAUGAAGGUCCUCUGGAUUGUAAAACUCUGUUGUAUGGAAAAAAUGACUAUAUUAGGAAAUGAAUAUAGAGUGAUGGUACCAUACGAGAAAGCUCCGGCUAACUACGUGCCAGCAGCCGCGGUAAUACGUAGGGAGCGAGCGUUAUCCGGAUUUAUUGGGCGUAAAGCGUGCGUAGGCGGUUUAUUAAGUUUAAGAUGAAAGGCUGGGGCUCAACUCCAGUUUGUCUUAAAAACUGGUAAGCUUGAGUAUGGUAGAGGUAAAUGGAAUUUCUAGUGUAGCGGUGGAAUGCGUAGAUAUUAGAAGGAACACCAGUGGCGAAAGCGAUUUACUAGGCCAAAACUGACGCUGAGGCACGAAAGCGUGGGGAGCAAAUAGGAUUAGAUACCCUAGUAGUCC
RNAcentral lists this ribosomal RNA (450 nucleotides) under uncultured bacterium. RNAcentral's name for it is "bacterial SSU rRNA". It matches the Rfam family "Bacterial small subunit ribosomal RNA", at positions 354 to 796 of the family's 1533-position model. The record is from RNAcentral.